GACGAACGCUGGCGGCGUGCUUAACACAUGCAAGUCGAACGGAAAGGCCCCUUUGGGGGUACUCGAGUGGCGAACGGGUGAGUAACACGUGAGUAACCUGCCCUUGACUUCGGGAUAACUUCAGGAAACUGGGGCUAAUACCGGAUAGGAAUCCUUGCUGCAUGGUGGGGGUUGGAAAGCUUCGGCGGUUUUGGAUGGACUCGCGGCUUAUCAGCUUGUUGGUGGGGUAGUGGCUUACCAAGGCUUUGACGGGUAGCCGGCCUGAGAGGGCGACCGGCCACAUUGGGACUGAGAGACGGCCCAGACGCCGACGGGAGGCAGCAGUGGGGAAUAUUGCACAAUGGGCGGAAGCCGGAUGCAGAAACGCCGCGUGCGGGAUGACGGACUUCGGGUUGUAAACCGCUUUCAGCAGGGGCGAAGCUUGUGGUGACGGUACCUGCAGAAGAAGCACCGGCUAACUACGUG
Molecule: ribosomal RNA, 465 nt
Filed under: uncultured bacterium
Lineage: Bacteria
Description: partial 16S ribosomal RNA
Rfam family: Bacterial small subunit ribosomal RNA
Source: RNAcentral